UUGGUCCAGCCUGAGUAGUUGUCCACGGCCUGCCAGCCCUCCCACUGGUCCUCAGGGUCCUUAUGUCUGGGGUGGAAUUGUGUCCACCCAAAAGUCUUAUGUUGGAGCCCAACACUCAGUACCUCAGGACAGGAUCAUAGCUGGAGAGAGAGCCUUUACGGAGCUAUAGUGAAGUCAUAAGGAUGGGCUCUAAUAUGUGGGGUGUCCUUCUGAGAAGGGGACCUUUGGACACAGAGAGACACACAGGAAGAUCACUAUGUGGACAUGAAGAUGGCAUUGACAGACCAAGAGCGAGGCCAGAACAGAUUCUUCGUCAGCCCACGGAAGGAACAACCCUCGGGGCACCUGGAUCCUGGACUUCCGGCUUCCAGAACCAUGAGACAAUCCAUCCCUGUGGAUUUACUCACCCAGGUCAUAGUACUUUGUCAUGGCAGCUCCCAGAAACUAACCCACCUGGAGCCAGAACUGGACUCUCGUGUGUGUACACCACACUCCCCUCAGUACCCGAGUCUGAGGAGCAGACACUCAGGCAAGUAAAGGGACAGAUCCGAGAGGUUGGGCCAAGCCAGGUAGUAAAGAGGAGCGAGGCAGCGCCAGCAAGUGACCUCCAGAGCCCAACUGCCAGGCCCCACUCAGGUGUCCCACAGCAGCUCCCCCAAACUCUGGAAGAAGACAGGCUCCCCUCUCUCACUCCCCAGCAGGACUCUUUCUGACUCCUGUAACCAGUCAGGACCCUAGGCCCUCCCUCCAAGGUCCCCCAAAGAGUGGGGCUCUAAGCACUUCUUCAGGACUUCCAGCAGGUGGAGGUGGGUCCCAGCAGAGAGGAAGCGGACCUCAGGAUCACCAGAAUGCAAAGAAGACCUCGCGUUUAUCCGACAUAUUUUGUGUGUGGACGCCAGAAUGACUCGGCAACAUCCCUGCCCUUGAGGAGCUCAGCCCAACAGAGGAGUAAAAAUAUAAAUUAUAGGACAGGGCUGUAAAUUAUACAGAGAAGCAUAUGAGGUACUGAAAUAGAACAAAGAUGGGAGCAAUUAACUUCUAGGGUCCUCUGCAUAGGCCUCACAGAGAAAGGGCUAUGUAUGCUGGGUUUUGCAGGAUGAGUAGAAGUUUUCAGGACAAAAUGUGCAAAGACAUUCAAAAGACUAACACCGCCAAGGCCCAUGACAUGGUGUUCCUGCUACAGAAUGAUGAAAUAUAGGACGUGAUGCUCAAGUUACCUUCUCUUACCAAGUGGGGAACUCAGUCUGAAGGAUUUGAAGCUCCUGUCUGGGGUGACACGGAUGGAAGUUAGAAGUUCCAGGUCCAAGGCUGAUGCUAAUGUGCCCAUUACUUUCCUUUCCCCCUUUCUUGAUGCUGGAGACCAGAAAUCAGUGUCUUGUGUCUUUUGUUUCCUCUUCUUCUUUAUUUCUGGCCAAACUGCAGCUUAGGAUCAAAACAGAAAAACACACCCUCAGACCUGCCCCGGCCCCACAGUGCUGCCUCCUGUCACCCAAGGCCCACACUGGGCAUGGGGAAAGGGAGCUACUGGACUAAGCGGGGGCUGGGGCUGGGGCUGGGGCCGGGGCCGGGGCCGGGGCGGGGGAGGCAGCUGGAAUAGAGCACGAGAGAAAAUAGUUCACGGUCUGUGUGGCAAGGGGAGACAGGCCGCCCAGCUGCGGCCAGCAGAGCCAGGAGGCCGGGCCCAGCCCAGACAUUUCAAAAACAAAUCUGGAU
Long non-coding RNA from Vulpes vulpes (red fox), 1713 nucleotides. Lineage: Eukaryota; Metazoa; Chordata; Mammalia; Carnivora; Canidae. The record is from Ensembl.